Molecule: long non-coding RNA, 26251 nt
Filed under: Arabidopsis lyrata
Lineage: Eukaryota; Viridiplantae; Streptophyta; Magnoliopsida; Brassicales; Brassicaceae
Description: long non-coding RNA (ALYR_LNC001175)
Source: RNAcentral
ACUGAAAGGAGGAGGUGGAGGUGGUGGUGGGGAUCCAUAACUCAGUGGAGGAGGCGGCGGUGGGGGUGGAGAUCCAUAACUCGGUGGAGGAGGGGGAGGUGGGGGUGGAGAUCCAUAACUUGGUGGAGGAGGGGGAGGGGGAGGCACUGAAUAUGCAUUACUAAAAGGAGGAGGUGGAGGUGGUGGUGGAGCUGUUUUACUAGGUGGAAGAGGUGGAGAUCCAUAACUUGGUGGAGAAGGGGGAGGGGGAGGUACUGAAUAUGCAUUACUAAAAGGUGGAGGUGAUGGUGGAGCUGUUUUACUAGGUGGAAGAGGUGGAGAUGGAGAAGUGGAAAAACCAUUAAUAGGAAGGAUCUUGAGUGCUGGUGUAGGUGCAACACUCGUAUAAGGCAGAGGAGGUGGAGGGGGGAUGUGAUCUCCAUUUGCUUUUGUUGUAUUUAAUGAGCUAAAAGGAGGAGGAGGUGGUGGUGGUGGGGAAGAAGAUGUAGAGCACGCCUCAUGAGUAUCAAAAGACAAAGCAUACACAGACUUCCAAGGUGGUGGAGGUGGUGCUGGAGGCAACAAAGUUUCACUGUUUCGCCUCACAGAUGCAAACGGAGGUGGUGGAGGAGGAGGCGGUGGCGAUGGUAGCUGAGAUGUUUGAGAGUCACUGCUCUUUUGACCGACUGAAUAGUAUGCAGGCGGAGGUGGUGGUGGAGGUGGUGAAGAGGUAGGAAGUUGAGAAGGAGAACAUAUUGCAGGAGUCGCCAAAGCUGACACAUACACAGACUUCCAAGGUGGAGAUAGUGGUGAAGGAGGCAACACAGUUCCACUGUUUGGUCUCUCAGAUGAAAAAGGAAGAGGUGGCUGUGGUGGUGGUGGUGGAGGCAACACAGUUCCACUGUUUGGUCUCUCAGAUGAAAAAGGAGGAGGUGGCGGCGGUGGUGGUCGUGGGAGCUGAGAUGUUUGAUAGUGGCUGUAAGUAGGUAAUGGCGGUGGUGGCGGAGGAGGAGGUGGCGAUGCAACUGCUUGUGAAGAGUGUAAAACGGAUGUGGCCUCACUGGUUAGAGAAGGCAGGGGUGGAGGAGCCUGAUGAGGAGACGCAGCAGGUAGAGAAGACGGCUUUUCCUUCGGGCUAGAAUCUGGUGAUGAACAAAUUGGAGCUCGACUCCUCAUAUCCGGUGAAGAAACAGACGCUCUCAGAUAUUUAGUCUUAGCAUCCUUUGGAAUCACACCAUCAGGUGAUGUAGCUCUUUUACCAUCCUUGAGAGAAGUGGUAAUUGAGGCAGGAGCAUUGUUAAUUCUUGUCGGGGGAUAAGCCACAUGCAUAGAAUCUUUAUAUGAGCCCUUAUUUGAAGGAAUCCAUCGAGAGACUGCGUUAGGAUUAGCCAUUCUUACAUUAGGACCCUGAGUUUCUUGCUGCUUAGACUUCGGUUUAAGUGAAUCUCCAGCCAGUUUUGCAUUUGCUCCGACCUGUUUCCUUAGUGUAGCUUGUGUUUUUUCGGAUAUGGGUUUGUUGAGACUAGUACUUGUUUUCUGACUCAUAGAUUCCAAAUCAUUGCUUUCCUCAUCACCUUUGCAUUGAGUCUCUACUGUUCUAGAAUCAUUUUCCUUUGCUUCCAUGGUUCUUCUCUUUCGCUGCUCAUCACCAUCAUCUAUUCCUAUAUCCUUCACUGAGUCGAUAUUAGAAUCUGCCUUCCCAUCCGAUCUAUACUGUACAUCAUCCACAGUGAUAUCUUUGACUGGAUCCGUGCUAGUCUCUGCAUGCAUAUCAUGUUUAUGAUUUGAAUCAUCUGAUGCACAAUCUAGAAACGCAUUGGGUUCCACAUCCCCCUUCCACACCUCUUUACCCUCAGAAUCAUCUGAAGCAGUAUCAACAACCACAAAACUAUCCGAGUCUCUCUUAUGGUCAGGUCCAUCAAUCACAUCGCUAAAGAUCUCCUCCACCUCAAAAAAUUCUUCAGGUGAAGUAAUAUCAAAAUCAUUCUCAUCAUCUGAUAUUGUAGAAGUUGUAAUAGGAGGCACCACGGCAUCAGCGCCAGAGAAAAGUACCUGAUACAUAUAUGAGUAUGCAUUCAAACUUAACAGUCUUAUUCAAUAGGUGAUCAGAGAAAAUUUUACAACGGCCUACCUCUGCCUUAAAUUCCUUUGGGAACUGGUCCUUGACAUCCCAAAGUAUGUCCAUCUCAUCGCGUUGGAGCAUUAAAAUAUUAGCUCGCACAAAAGCCGUGUGGAACAUGAUUCUGAAAACUAUCUCCUCGCUCACCAAAUCAUCAUGCAAAUGUAUACAUUCCAGUACAACAUCCCCUUGAACGCGGCACUGUAUAUCUAAUUUCACCAGGAUACACUCUUCCUGCAGAUGAGAUCACAAAUUUGCGCAUAUUUCUUCAGUAGAGAAGCAUUUAACUGGUACAAUAAAUUACCAAAAAAAACUCACAAAACUAUAAUCUAUCCCUUACUGAUAUUUUUAAUCCGCACAAGACAGUGUGAUGAUUACAAUGGUCGGGAAAGUACCUGUUGGUAGAGACGAGUGUGUUUCUUUGUCUUUAGUGUGGAGAAGAGAAGUAUGGAACUCCUGUUGGUUCGGGCUUUAGGGUCCUGCCCAUAAACCCGUAAAAUUGGUCUGCAACCUUUUCUCCCUUCAAAAUGUGGGAGAUCUCUGAGAAUCAAGCAGUCCAAAAGAAGAGGUGUGUCCGAAGGAGGCCAAUCAGAGCCUAAAUUUCUUCUAGAAAUGUACUGAAGAUAUCUGAGUUGAGAAGGCUGUGGGUUUAGAGGAGACAAUAGAUGAAGAAGCUCCUUAGGAGCCUGUUUGUGUACCAUCUCAAGAGUCUUCUGCUCGCCAUGAUACUGCUUUCUGUACAAUAAAAGCCCCGAUAACAUAAAAGCAAGAACAGGCCAACCACCUCUUUCACAAUGCAUCAACAGUACAUUUUGUUGACCUUCCAAGGAUAACCAGCUUUCACUCGAUCUUAGAAAGUGAUGGAUCAUCUCGAGAGGUAAAAGCGGACAACUCUCAUACUGCCGUGGAUAAUCCAUUACCGUCAUAUCGUAUUGGGACAACACGUCUGAUAUUUGACUCCGCUGUUCCCCCUCUCUAAAGUUAAACACCAUGAAAGAUGCAUCUGGGAAAUGGUCCUGUAGCUGCGCCACGAUGCCACCCAAGUAUACUUUGUACUCAUCCUCCCCCAUAACAUCGCUAGAGAAACAGCAGUCAAAAACUGCAAAGAAGAAGAAAAAAACAAGAGAAGUUUAUGAGAUCAUCAGCUCUGAAACCUUGAACUACUCCAGCAAAAUAUAAGUUACUAGAAAAUGGAAACACAAAUCUCCAAGCUCUGAAAAAUUUAUCACUAUCCGCGAGUGCAAUCCAGAAGCUGAAAUAAACUCUUUUUCCAAAGAACUAUCAUCGUCGAACAUUAAAGGAAACAAUAGAAUAUCCCACAAAGCUAUAAAUUGUCUUCAAAGAGAUUCUGAUUCCUAAACCUCUUUAAGCUCAAAUAGGCAUCCAUUUGCAAAGCUAUACUCAAAUUCUCAUCCCAAUCAAACUGCCAAAAACCCACCACCCUCCAGAAGCUCGUAGCAAUUUUGAUCACAUGCCCAUAUAUCAUCAAUUACAAGAACAAAUCCGGCAACAAGUUCAUCUUUUUAUAGAUGCUUUGAACCUAGAAACAGAGGAAAAGGGAGGAGUUAUUACCAUAGACACGCUCGGAGAUCUCGAGAAGCCGAUCCGGAGGCUUUUUGUAGAAGAAGCGACGGAACAGCGCCAUGGGAUGGCGCUGUCUCUCCCCCGAUCAGAUCCAAACCGUCGAUUUAGUAAACCAACAAGCAGAUCAUUCUCGAUUGCUCCAAUUCCGUUGACCUAAACCCCAGAUCCCCUUUCUUCUCCCAAAAUUCAGGUCACAAACCCUAAUUUCUCACCCCUAGCAAAAAAAGUUGACAAAUUUCGCAAAAUUACAAGAGCGUGAUAAAGACCCAAUCCCCAGAAAUUCCUUAUCUCCCUCUCUCUAUCCACCAAUAAUCCAAUUUUGGAAACAACAACGCAAGUCGUAAUCACAACGCCAAACCCCAAAGUUGAGAAUUUUUCAAAAUAGUUUUGUUCCAAAUGACUCGAUCUCUAUGUACAAUGUCGAAUCUUCUCUCAAUCGUGGGAACAAAGAAUCUUCGAAGCUAAUCAAAAAGUUGUUAAAAAUAAAAAUAAAGAGAGAUAGAGAGAGAAGGAAGUGACAGUGAGAUGAAGAAUUUCAGGUGAAAAAAGGAGAAAGAUUGGAGCAGAAAUGAAAAAAAAGAUCGAAGAAACCAGAUUUCGACAAAUCUUCCAGCAGUUUUUUAUGUUUUGUCAAAAAAAUUAUUAAUAUUUUUUUAUUGACAAAAGGGUUUAUUCAUAUUUUUAGAGGUAUUUAAUAAUAGCAAACAAAAAGCUUUUUUGAUUUUCCAUAGUUGCGUAAUUGAAAUUGAACUCUACGGAACGAACGUAAGCGUAGUGGACUUUAGAGAAAGAGCGAGACUUGGUUCAGACACACGACCAGACCCUUCUCUGUCUAACAUCUAGGAGGUGUUGUCUAAGCCUACGUGGAAACGUAAAAAACUAUAUUUAUAAUUACAACCACGUUUUUUUUACGAUCAACUUGUGAAUUUCCCAUCUGUCGAAACACGUUAUUAUUGAUUUAAAAUAAGUCACUGCAAACAUCAUUAAGUAAUCCCCAAUUGCCAUUAUUAUAUCACAUUUACAGUAGUAUAUAAUUGAAUCGGUAUUAGUAACCCUUAACAUUCAUGUCUGGUUGCUAUUUUUUCAUGAUGUAAAACUUUAAUAAAGGAGUGGGGAAUGUCUGUGUCUUACGAGACCAUAUUUUUUUACCAGUCAGUCUCGUUUUAAUCAGCCGAGACCUACAUAUUAAAGGUUGGGCUUAAUUUUAACGGCCCAUUGAUGACUUACGGAGUCACGUGACCUUCGCCUUAUGGGGUUCUUUGACUUUUGUUCAUUUCAUUCCUUGGCCAGUUUGGUCUCUCUUCGUCGACUCUUUUCCUGACUUGGUGGUUUUGGGUAGAUGAUGAAUCCGUCAAUAAAUAUGCCGAGAUUUUUUUUAUUAUUCAAAGAAUGGAUCAGACAGUACUCGGUCUUGUCUUUUCGUCCCUCGAAUUUUGGACAAGUCUUUUCCCCAAAGUCAACUGUGCUGCGAUUGAUCAUUCUCUUAUAUUUUCUGGGAAUUCUUUUUCCAUCAUUGUUUGCUCUGAAUUAGAUUUAUUCGAUUGAUAUCAGUUUGUUGUUAUAUAUCUACUAAAUCGUCUGUUUGGUUCCUGAUCCAAUGUCGCUUGUCGAGGUCUCUGGCGCUGAUGCCGUGGUGGCACCUAUGCGUGGAAGAGUACCAACUCCACCACCACCUCCUCCUAAGCGUAGAAGACCACCACCGCCACCACCUCCUCCUCCUCCUAUGCGUAGAAGAGUACAACCGCCACCACCACCACCUCCACCUCCACCUCCACCUCCUAAGGGUGCUGGACGAGUUCGUUGUUUUCUAAUUCCUCUAGGUCAAAAUAAGUCUUAUCAGAAGAGGACCUCGCUGAGAAGCUUAUGGGUCGAGUUAGAGGGACAAGGAGAAGCACAAACGUAUUUAGACUAACUUUUUUAAGUUUGCAUUCCUUUUUUCUUUUGCACCAGGCAGAUAAAUUCCUGAGUUUUUUUAUUGACAAUUAUAUCCUUCUUCUUCUUUUUUUUUUUUUUUUUUUUUAUAGUGCACCAGAAUUUGAUGUAUCAGAAAUAGAGGCCCUUAUCUCUGCUGCUGCAGUACAAAACCCGGCUGAUAUAUCUGCAAGUCGACGAGAAGCUUUUGAGGUAAAACCCGAUAAACUUCAAAUGGUAAUGUGAAAUUAAAAUUCUUCUUAACAUUUGGUUAUUGUCAGAUAUUUUAAUUUGCUGGAGACUCUGGUCAUGUAGCUAUAAACAAGUGACUGAAAAGCAUGUUAUGAUUUGUCAGAAAUCUGAGUAAUUGUACUAAGAAUGUCUCUAUAAGCAUAUGUUAUUAAUUUGAAAUUGACAAUACUCUGUCUUGUCGUCUGUUCAAAGUCUUUUGCACAAAGUCAACUGUGCUUUCACAAGUCUAUGCGAUUGAUCAUUCUCUUCUAUUUCUGGGAAAUGUUGUUCUAAAUUAGUGUUAUUUGAUCUAAAUCGGUGAAGAAAUCUGUUUGUUGUUAAAUAUACUAAAUCGUCUGUUUGGUUCUUGAUCCAAUGUCGAUUGUCUAGAUCUCUGGCGCUGAUGCUGUGGUGGCGCCUAUGCGUGGAAGAGUACAACUUCCACCACCACCUCCUCCUCCCCCUCCUCCUAUGCGUAGAAGAGUACCACUGCCACCACCCCCUCCUCCUAUGCCUAGAGAAACGCCACUGCCACCACGUCCUCUGAUAUGUGUAGGAGCCCCCUCACCUCCUCCUCCACCCCCACUUCCACUUCCUGCUAAAAAAAAGUCCACGCCACUGCUACCACGUCUUCUGAUAUGUGUAGGAUCCCCACCUCCUCCUCCACCCCCACUUCCACUUCCUGCUAAACAAAAGUCCUCCCUGAAGCGAUUACACUGGGUCAAACUGGCAAGGGUUUUGCCGGGGAGCGUUUGGGAUGAGUUACAGAGACGACAAGAAUGCCGCAAUAUCAAAGAUGAACAGAUUCUCUGGUAAUCCCCUGAAGAAACAAAAUUUCAAUGGAGUGAAGAAGGAAGAAUUAAAGUGCACAUAUCAUUGACCAUUGCUUUGCAACUAAUCAUCAUUUUUUUUUCUUUUUUGCUAGUGCAAUAGAACUUGAUGUAUCAGAAAUAAAGACCCUUUUCUCUCUUGUGGCUAAACCAAAACCUGAAAAAAAGCCACUGGUAAAGUGAAAUAUUCCUAACACAAUUGGUUAUUGUCAGAUAUGUUAACUUGCUCUGUUCUGGUGGAGACUUUUGUCAUAAACGAGUGACUUUUUGAAGAGUUGUUUUCUUAUAUAUGGCUUUCAAGAUUGACCUUAGGAGAGCCACUGACGUGGAAAUUAGGCUAAUGUUAUUAAAUACUCAGCUGCCUGAUAUGAUGGUAAGCACCAAAACUUACUUUACUAGAGUACAAGUCAUUUACUGGUUAAUGUUUUAAUGAUAAUUUGUUCACAUUAUUCUUUGCAUCAUCAAGGCUGCAGUUCUUGCAAUGGAUGAUGAGUCUGUACUAGAUGUUGAUCAAAUAGAGGAUCUUAUAAACCUUUUCCCAACCAAGGAGGAUAUAGAGCUUCUUAAGGUUACCUCUUGACUUUUGAGUAGCAUUGUUAUCUACUUCUGUCUUUAUUUUGGAAAUCAUUUUGUGAAAUAUAUCAAUUCUUCACUUUUUAUUGACACGAGUUCUUGUUCUUGGUCAUAAUAGACCUACACUGAUGACAAGGGGACCUUGGGAAAGUGGGAGCAGGUCUGUUGAAGUCUUGAGAUUAUCAAUCUUGCAUUGUUUUUGGUUCCUACAAUAAAUAUGGAUAGUAACUAGCUUACUCAGUUAAUUCAUUUCCUUCUGUCAUCGGUUUUGCUAUCGCAGUACGUCCAAGAGCUAACGAAGGUGCCACGACUAGAAUCAAAGCUGAGAGUAUUUUCCUUCAAGAUUCAAUUUGCCACUCAGGUCCGGUGGUAAUACCUAUAAAUAGAGUUAUGAUCUGUCUAUCUGGUUAUUUGGAGGAAAUAAAGAUUUGGUUUCAUCAGUGCCUAAGUGAAUGUAGAUUCUUGAUCCUUUUUUUCUUAUGAUGAUUACUUUGCAGAUAACAGAACUCAAAAAAGUUUUAAAUGCGAUAAAUUCUGCAUGUGAGGAGGUAAGAUUUUUGCAAUAAUCAUUAACUCUUAAGUUUUUUUGCAGUCCAUUUGCGUUUCUCUUUCUCAGACUUUUUCUUCUCAUUUCUUGUUCAUCAGGUUCGUACUUCAGAAAAGCUAAAAGAGAUUAUGAAAACUAUUCUCUGCCUGGGGAACAUAUUGAACCAAGGAACUGCCAAGGGUGAGUAUCAUAUUAUUUUAAGCUUAAGAUAUUUCCUAACGCAACACAAAAAAAAAAAUGUGGUUGAUAAAGACCCUUUGCUCUGCUUUCUGCAGGAAGUGCCGUGGGAUUCAAGUUGGAUAGUUUAUUGAAAUUAAGCGACACACGUGCUUCUAACAGCAACAUGACUCUCAUGCAUUAUCUUUGCAAGGUAAACUACAAUCGAAAGAAAGAAGCAUGCAGCAUCUAUUUUAAUGAGUGGGCUUGUUUUAGAAAUCCUCUUUUCUUUUUCCAGGUCCUUGCUUCCAAGGCAUCAGAUCUACUAGACUUCCAUAAGGAUCUUGAAAGUCUGGAAUCAGCUUCAAAGGUUUGCGAGUUUGUACGUACCUACUUUUUCCGUUCUUAGCUCAUCAUUUGGCUGUCCUGUCUAUUUCAGAUACAAUUGAAGUCUCUGGCUGAGGAAAUACAAGCUAUAAUCAAAGGAUUGGAAAAACUGAACCAGGAGCUCACUGCAUCCGAAAGUGAUGGUCCUGUUUCUCAAGUUUUCCGUAAAGUAUGUUGUUUUUCUAUCUUCUAGAUCUUUUGCAUAUCUUUUAUCAAUCAUAAAUUUGAGAUUAGGUCCAUGACUCUGCCACAUAACUAAAUCUUCCAUCAUUUUGUAAAAUCAAUAUAUACCAGCCAGAAAUAGUUCUUCAGCUAGGUUUGUUUAUCUACUUAACUUCUUCCGGAUGCUAAAAUCUAGUUUGAUGUUCGACAGUUAUUGAAGGACUUCAUAAUCAUUGCUGAGACUCAAGUAGAAACUGUAUCGAUUCUUUACUCCGUCGUGGUAACUUUUGUCAACCUCUUACUACUAGAUUCCAAGUGCCUUACCUUUGACAAUGUGUUUGAUCCCGAAAUGAUUUUUGUUAUUGUUUCUUGUGAUGGACGACAGGGAAGAAACGCUGAUGCACUUGCACACUAUUUUGGCGAGGAUCCUAAACAUUAUCCAUUUGACAAAGGUAUGCCUCGGAAACAAUAAACUAGUCCAUCCUCAUUUUUUGUGCUCGUACAUUAGAAAGUGGCUAGCUAGCUCAUUGUUAUUAUGUAGCUAAUAACAAUUAAUACAUGGUGAUCGAUAUUGCUGCAGUUACCGCGACUCUCUUGAGUUUUAUAAGGUUGUUUAAGAAAGCACACGAAGAGAAUAUCAAGCAAGCGGAGUUGGAGAAGAAGAAAGCUGCAAAGGAGAAGACGAAGUUUAUAUAACUAAAAAAGAGCAGCGGAGUUUAUAUAACUGACUAUAGUGUGGUAACUCAGAUAUUUUGUGUUGAUAUAAACAAGUUAUGUAAAUAUUUUCACUGCUUGGUGUUGUUAAAAUGUGUGGGUUGCAAAAAAAAAAAAAGAAAAAGAAAAAAGAUUGUUGAAAUUUGCAUUAAAAAAUGAUGUCAGUGCUUGUAACAAUUUUCAUAAAUGAGGAAGUAUCGAUUGCAUCAAUUAAAAUAUUUGAUACUAAUCGUUGCUCGAACUUGGGACUCUGAACAACAGAAGUCCUCCUCCCAAGUCAGCAACCGUUAUUUUAUGUGUGGACCGUUCGACAAUGUUUUUUCUUUACUAAAUUGGCCCAUUUAAAAGGCCUUCCAAGAGUCAACCGGUUCGACCGGAUGGUUUGUCUUAUAAAAUUUGAUUUUAAUUCUUUCCAAUAAAUAAGGAUUUGGUUUGCUGGAUCUGUAAAUUUUUCACUUUUUCUAAUGUACGAAAUAUGAUAAAAUCAUAAAAGAGAAUAAUUUUCUCUGACUUGGGGAAAAGUAAGGAGAUAUUAAAUGUAAGAAAAGGACAAGAGGAAGAAGAAGAAGAAUCAGAGAGAGGCGAAAAAGUAGUAUUUUUUUUUUUUUCUUUUUUUCUAAGAGUGGUCUUUUCUCACACAGGUCUCUGUCUAAGUUUUCUGAUAAAAUUCUCCAUAUUCCUGCGACCCAGUCUCUUUCUUCUCCAAAGAUAAUGGCCCAGCAGAUCUCGGAUACGCACUUCUUUCUUCAUCGACAUUGAUAAACAAAAACAUUUUUGAAAAAAGAUAUUAUAGAUCCCUGUUCUUUUGGUGGUGAUAUAUCCCACUUUCUCUUUUUUGCAUUUUCCCGAUAAAAUAAAAAGAAGCUUUUUUUCCAAGACAGCAGCUUCCUCAAGCAAAAAGAAAGAAGCUUUUAGUUAAAAUCUCAGAAUUUUGGUUAUUCUUCGGAUUUUAAAAAACUGUUCCUUUUUUCUAAAGGUAGAUCCUUUCUCUCGUUUUGAUUUUUAAUCACUUUGCUGAUGCUCGUAAGGUUUCUGGGGUUCUUCUUCGGCAGAUUUUUUGUUCUGCUUUCUUUCUUUUUUCUUAUAGAAUCUAAAAUCUGUAUUUUCUUUCAUGUUCUUCUAGGAAUCUAGCUCAAAGUUUCAUCUUUUGCUUCAUUCUAGGUCUUUAAUGUUUUGUUUUAAUACCUUCCUUGCUGCUUUAGAACCCACUUGUGAAAAAAGUGUUGUUAGUAGUCUUUGAGAUCUUAUCUUAAACCUCAUCUUCCACAUUUGCAAAUUUUGUUAGAGAAAAAAUAAAAGCAGAUUUGAUGAUGCCUUGUGGGUUUUGCUUUUUUUUUUUUUAAUGAAUUGUUUUGGUUCAUGCAAGUUUAUAAGAUUGAUUCAGGUUUCUUUCUUGGUGCAGAGUGUGAAAGUGAAUGAAGAAUGCAGCAGAACAGCUUUUUCCUUGGGUCAAACCGUGAUACUACGGAUGCGAGAACUGGCUGGAGUUUGUGUCCUAUACAGGACAUUGAUACGAAUAGAUACGGCGUUAACGUGAAUCUUAAUGAUACAUUCUCUUUCUUGUAUAGUGAUCUUUAUCUUAGACAAGUGAAGGAAGCAUUGAGACAAACCAUGCUUUUACAUGAAUCUGUCUUUGAAAGUCAGGUGCGUUUUCUUUGUAAUGCUUCAUCUUUGUUGUUUCUUGUUUCCUCCAAGUUAAGAGUUUGAUACAUUUUCAUUUCAGAUCUAUGAGCUUCAUCGUCUGUAUCGGAAGCAGAAGGAACUGAUGAUUGAAAUGGAGGAAACUCGGCAUCAUAAGGCCUUGUACUUAAAUUCUGGUUUGCAUAUCCCUAGGACACACUGGAUGAGUUCGAGCAUUUCCGCGUAUCAAACUAGGAAUUUGCCUCAUGAAGAAGAAGACAUUCCUAGACUUGUUGUAGAUAACAAGGUUGACAAGUUUGAAAAGAAGGUCUUGGAUCUUGAAGUACCGGUUUUUGAGUAUAAUGAUAUGCUUGGAGAAGUUCAUGAAGCUCAAAACUUUUUGGAAGAGCAAUCUCUGAAAAGGAUGUCUCUUGAUUCGGGUAAGCAGUUGAGUAAGCUACUACUUGAUUUGAAUGAACCGGCCAAGAUCGAGGAACAUUCAGAUUAUGUGUUCAAUCAGUUCCUAAGUACAGUUACAUCAAAUGAAAUUGAAGAAGAGUCUGAUACAAAGAAUGAGGGAGAAAGUUUAGUAGAAGGUUCCAACGGGAUGGAUGAAGCGCAAGAAUCUGUCAAAUGUCGAGAAGGUAAGAAAAUGGAAGUAUAUGUUUACAUAUAUGUUUCUUCUUUUGUUACACUUUCUUGAUGUAUUGAAUGAAGCCUAAUUGUUCUGGUAUUUAUUUUGAGCAGAGUACGGAAUUGACUUGAAUAUGUCUCCCCUUUCAUUCGUAGAAGAAAUAACUAUUGUUAAGAAGUUUGAAACCGAGAAACCUCGAGGGUCUUCUUCAGUUUCAUUGCAUGGAAAGCACGGUUCAGAGCAGCCGCGAGUGGUUGUCCAAGCGCUACCAUGUUUAACUAGCACUUUACUUUUGGACAAGCGAUAUAAGUCAUUGAUGAGAGGCUCAAGGUUAAGGAAGAAGGUAAAACGUUGUCCAAGCAAGAUAACCUUCAAAGGCUCAGAUCAUGACCCGCAAUCGAGUGCUCAAGCCACCUCAGAAUCUCAAAGCAAUCAAACGAGUAUGGAGAAAGGGAGUUCAAGUUCUUUGUCUGAGGCAAAAUCUGCAAAAAAGGGGACUAAUCUAGGAAAGAAAAGGCAUUGUAAACCACAAAUGAAAUCCAGUAAGGGUCAAAAGGUAGUCGCGAAAAGGAGUGGAAGAGUUAAACGGAAGAAGAGCAGAAGGAUAUCUCUAGUUACAGAGGGAAAUUAUCAAGAAGUAUCUGCAGCUGAGGCCAUAGUUGAUAUGUCUAGAAAGUGUGGUCGAGAAACGGCUGAUUGUAUCACUUCUUUAAGCAGAAAUCUACUUUGGUUCGCCGAGAUUUCUUCUUCUGUUGCUGAGGACUACAAAACAGAAUUUUUGGAGCUGACAGAGAAGAAGCUAGAGGAGCAGGAGACAGAUCUGAGAUUGAACUCUUUAGACAACAUAGCAGCAGUCUCCAGCAUUGUCCUUAAAAAGCAGAGGAGAAGCCGAGCCAGGCAGGGGAAGCGGAAAUGCAAAGAUGACCAGCACCAUGAUAACCCGAGUUUAGGAACAUUUUCAGAAUGUGAAGCCAAUGAGGAUCUGCAGGUAAUAGAAAAGCUAAUUGAAGCGUCUGAAUUAAAAUGGAAUUGUGGGUUCCCCAAGAACAAGCGCAAAAGCUCUCCUCCUAAACCAAUAGAUGCUUUCACUUCCUUGGGGGAAGCAAAAACGGGCGUUGACUGGGGAGCCAUAAAAAAGCGAAGACGAGGCUCUAGAAUACCUGCUGCUGAUUUUAAGCAUAUGAUCAUCAACCAAGUAGUAUAGCCAAACUAAAGAUGUAAUUUACAUUACUUACCAUAGUUUGCUUCAUGUUUUUUCGGAGAAUCAAGAAUCUUACGGAAGAUGAUGCUUUUUGUAACAAGUCUUGUUCUAGAUAUGAAGACUACAUAGGAGAUAUUAAACUGUUAGAAUAUCAGUUCAUCAAAAGGCAAUGAAUCUGUUUUAAACUGGAGAUGGUACUGAAGAAGUUAUACUGCAUAUGUAAGCAAAUGCAAAACAAAGUUAAAAGCUAGUUACAACAUCAGAGAUUAAAAGAGCGCAAGAUUUCUCUCAUGAACCAUCAUUAUCAGUCUUCUACACAUUACCAUGACCAUGGCCAUUGUGUUUUUAAUUAAUGAUUUUAAGCUUUAGUUUUUACCUCAAAAUAUAUUAUGGUUUCUGAUUUUUGAGGAGAAUGUUUAGAACCAUAUUGAUGUCUUUUUAAAAUAGAGAUUUCCAUUGAUUUUGGUUAUGACACUGUAUUAUAAUGAAUGAAACAAAUGUAUGGAUAUAAAUAUCAACCAGAAACAUAGGCAGACCAACCUAAAAAAAAAAAAAGAAACAACAGACAAACAAAUGUAUAAAUGUAUGGAUAUUAUCAAGAAUUGAGGUUUGUAAAAUGAGAGCUUUGAAGAGCUUCUUGUAGGAGUUCAUGAUCAUCCCAAGAAUCACGAUAAGUCUCAAGAUUUUCCUGUGAAUUAUUGAGAGCAGACAAACAUAGUAGCUUUCUCCAUUCUUCCAAAUGCGGAAACCCAACAUAAUCCGCAUAUUUAUCGCAAUACUAUAAGCAAAUAGAUUCAAACACAAAAAAAGUGUUAGUAGGGCAGCAAAAUCAAGAGUAAAAUAAAUGUUGAAAUUUUUGUGAGGAAGGUAUAAAUAAUAGUUACCGUGAAAUCAGCAAUGUCGUGAGUGUUGUGUUUAGGGACUCCAGCGAGAUCUCUUGACCGGUAAAAUUCAGCAACGGAUUGUAACAUUUGGUCAGAAGAAGGUAGAAAUGACUUUCCUGACAAAACUUGUGCUAUCCAUUUUGCUUGUGCUUCAAAGAAUGGGAAUCCUAUCAACUGCAAAAUACCAAAAAAAAUUUGUUAAUUUUUGUUUAGAGAAAGACUAAUGAUGUUUAGGUUAAAACCGAAAGAUAAAAAUAAAGGACGACCUUUCUGGGGAUACCGACAAAGGAGAGAGAAGGGGAGAGACAAGGAGGGAAAGUGUGUUCGAAGAGUGGACCAACUCUAUCAUCAUCCACUUCUAUUCUUCCUUUACUCUCAAGAAAUGGAAACUUGUACGAGUACCUGUGUUUUGGUCCCCCAACAUAUACAUUAUUACUAAAGUAAUAAACAAAAUAUACAUUUUGAAAGAUCUAAAAACAUAUGACAGAAGUUGAUUAUUAUUUUUUGUACAGUAUGAUGGCCCCAAGAACUAGGGGAAAUGAAUUGAGUCGACCAAUGUAAAAAAGAUUUGUAGCCCACUCAUUCUGGCUUUUACGAUUCCCACUUUUUUUUUUUUUUUUGUUAAGAAUAGUAUUUUUGUAUAAAUAACUAUGUACUAGUAUUUUUGUUCGACCGAAAGAUUUCCAUCGAUAUGAUUUUCUAGAAUAUGAAUAUCUAAGUUAAGCAAUGUCAUGCAGAUCCCAAUGAUUUAUUAUUUCUUUUCCUGUUCUUUUUUCCUUACAUGAAACAAGACCACAAUACCCCACAGAGCCACAACACAAUUAAUUAAAUUUAACUUAACUAAUUACGGUUUAACACUAUCUGAGAAACUUUAAACAUCAUCAUCUAUUUCACUAUUUGUCUUCUCUAACGGAAACAAAAAGUAGUAAUUUUAGUCUAUUCACUCAAAGUUGUUUAUAUAUGCGAAAUUUGUUUUUUAAUGAACUAAUAUUUAAUCAUAUAAAUAAAUAGAUGACGAUAAGAUUUUCCGUUUUAAUAAGUUCUAAAUCUUACCCGGUGCAAUAUAAAAUUGUAUCAGCGACGACCCAAGAUCCAUCCACAAAAAUGACUCUCCCAUCAUCCUCUAAAGAUUCAAUCUACAAAACAAAAAUCAAAGAAUGAGACUUUUAAAUCCAGCUUUAUACAUAAAAACAAAACACAUACGUUAUUAUUAGUAUAUAUUUAAGUGAAAAGAACCUGUGGAUGAAUAAGAAGGUUUGAGUGUUUGGAAAUGACUUUGGAAAGGCCAGAAGAUAUAUCAAGUGUCUUGGCACUUAAAUGAACUUCCUUUGCCACUUCCACAAGCUCCAUUGAUAUGUCUUGUCCACUCAUUGAGUUCCCAACCACCACCACCACCUAUCACCAUCAUAACCAUCACCAUCAUCAUAACCAUAACCAUUACUAAACUUAAGGAUAUAGAGAUUCAAUCACCUCAUUACUAAAUGGAUCAGGCACCCUGUAAACAUGGCUAUGAAUUUGCUUCCUUUUCCAAGAAUCCAUUCCUAUAACCAUCAAAGAAACAUGAUAAACAAAUCAAUAACCAUACAUACAUGCACAUAAAUAGCAAAUAACUAACAAAUAUCAACUACUAGACUUAUUAUUGAUAAGAUGAUUAAAUGCGAAAUAAUAUCAACAAUAAUAUACCUUUGAUAGAGGGCAAUCUAGGGUGAGAGUAAUGACCAGUAGCAACAACAACAGCAUCAAAGAUCUCUUCCAUAACCUUACCACUUAAUUUCUCUCUACUCCUCACAAUCCACUUCUUCACAUCAUCUUCUUCUUCUUUUUCUCCCACAAACUCAACCCUAACCUUAAACCUAAUCAUAUCUCUUAACCCAAAAGUUUCACUAAAGUCCUUAAGAUACAACCAAAGCUCCUUAUGCCCUGGAAACCUCCUCAUGUCUCUCCCUUUCUUCGCCAAAAACGGAAAAUCCGAAUAACCCAUUAUCUCUCUCGGUGAGGUUAGCCUCAAGGAAGAGUAAAUGCUGCUAUGGACCUUAAGUUCACCAGUAAUGGAACCACUACUUCUUCCUAAUGGAUCUUCUUCUUCUACGUUUGGUUGAUACAACCAUUGACCUCCUACGUCGUCGUUUUGCUCCAACACCACCACUUUGUGUCCUUCUUUUCUUAGCUCCCUUGCCGAGACUAGCCCCGCCGGUCCAGCUCCGAUAACACAUACCUUCUUUGAUCGGCUCCUUGAUGCUUCGGAUGUCACCGAAACCAUACUUGUUAGUUUGAAGAAAGAUUGAGAUAUUUGGAAUGCGGUUUUUUUAUUUGGUUUCUUAAUUUGUGUGGUAUCUCACCGGAUGUUGUUUUUAUAGUGAAAUUUAAGACUUCCUCACUACUACUACUCGAUAUGUCAUGUUUCUUUUUAUUUAUUUACUUUUUGCUGGUUUUAUAAAUAUUACACUACUAAUCUUUAUGCAGAUUACAUAAAAUUAUUUUGUUUAUUUCUAGAAAAUUAUAUAUUUGAGAGAGAAGACCUGCAUGACAAAUUAGAUUGACUGGUAAUAAAAAUAGUUACAAAUACGUACAUGUAAUUGUAGUUUUUGUUUUUUCCCAAAAUCUGUAUACAUUAUACAAUAGUUAAAUCUGGAUAGUAACACAACUAUAGUAUAAUUAAUAUCCUUUUUUGUGUGGUCAAAGUAUAAUUAGCUUUGUUACGUAAUUGUUACCAUUUUUAGCAUAUACAAUUGUAUAUACCAGUUUGAAAAACUCAAAGAAAAAAAAAAGAAAAAAACGGGAAAGAAUUCAGUUUGAGUAAUGAAAUGGGUCCCGAUAUGAUUUUCAAUCAAAAACUCUGACCGAUCCACCAUUCCACCUUCGUCGAUAUGACUUAUUUUGUAGGUCAAAUUCAUAUUUCUACGUGAAAACUAGUUUUUCAAAACUUUUUUCUUUCUUUAUUCCGGCAAAAGAGAUUCAUAAUUAAUAAAAAAACAUCAUUUUCCUUAGGAAACAAUUUUAAAAUUCUAUAUCAUUGCUUUGGCAUUUGGUUACUUAAUUGUAUACUAAAAAUGGUACCUAUAAUUAGAUUGGCUCUAUAUCGGAGAGAGAUACAUGUGUUUUGUUGCAUACAAAUUUAUGCUUUAUAUUCUAUUUUUCGAACAUAUAAUUUGAUUUUUCUUGAAAUUUUGAUGAGAAUUUAUAUAAAAAUUCGGUAUAUACGGACUUAAAAUAUCAAUCUUAAGAAUAUUAAAAUAAGAAAAAGUGAGACAAAAAGUUAGUAAACCCUUUCGAACGAAGUUAAAAGGAAGGUGAAAAAACAGUCUUGACUCUUGAGACACAAAAUAAUGGCUAUUGUGUCCCUCUAACUCAAAGAAAACUCCUUGCUGUUAAAAGUUGUGCUUAGGGUUUGUUGGAAACAUUACCCACCUCUAUAUAAUAUACAUAUAUGUAUGGGAAUCAAAGUGAAAUUAAAUUUAACUAUAAUAUAUAAUAUAAAGAAAUGCUUUUAAAUGUUAAAUAUUAUGAGUUUAUAUAUAAAUUUUCUAUUUUAAAUAACAAAAAUGACGAAAUAUCUACAAUAUUUUUACAAACAUGCAUGAAUGAUAUAUGUUAUAUAUAUAUAUAUAUCUGUCAAAUAUACAUAUAUGAUUAUAUAUGCAAAUAUUAUAAGUAUAUAUAACCAAAUUAUUGAAAUUGGGAGAGGAACACUAAAAUGGGUCCCCACAUAUAUAUUGGAAAGAGUAAGUCUUAAAGGCAAGGGAACAUCAACAAUUAUUUCAUUAGGCUCUUUAUGAUUCCAUCCUCCUACGAUUACAUAACCCCUCAUGAACUUUAAAACCAAACUCAUAUUUGAUAUAUAUACAAUUAAUCUUUUUAUCUCAUGAAAAUUUAGUAAGAAAAUGGAGAAAAACUCUGCAUGCAACGUAUUAGGAGUUAACGAUUUACGUUUUAAAAAUGAAUAACAUAGAUAUGUAAUAAAAAUUUAAAUAUGUAGGUUUUCUUCGAAGUUAAAUCAGAGUAAAUUAUAAGGUAAUUGAUUAUGUUUAUCUUUUACAAUAUAAAUAGUUGGUGAAAAUGAGGUUCUAAACUUUAAGAGUUUGAACACAUUUAAAAAAAUGUUCUAAACAUCCGAUUAGUAGGUAGUAGCGAUCGGUGUAAAUUUAUGGAACAUUGAAAGAUUUUUUGUCAUGGAGUAUUUUAUAUUAUUAGUUAUUAUGUAAUAAAACGAUGAUACGCAAUAUAGCAUUGGAUCCACUUUUGUUUUUCCAGUAUCUGAUUUUCGCCCAUUGGAACAUCCUUGCUUGUUAAUUACACAACAAAAAACUUUCUUUUAUUUAUUUAAUAAAAAGAAGAAGUCUGAGUAUUUUCAAUAAUUUAGUUCUUUUUAGUUGUUUUUGUCGCUUUGGAAAGACGGAAUAUCAACAUAUAUUUUUGUUAAAGAAUAUCAACAUGUAUACAAAGAAAAACUAGAGAUUUUUAUCCGAAAAAAAAAAAAAAAUUUGAGAUGUGUAAUUUACAGAAAAAUGUAAAUAAAAAUUGACCUUUACUAUAACAUAAAUGGCUGUUAACGAGAUUUUGUCUGAGUUAUCAACAGCUAUUGCAAGACACAAAAUCUAGCAAGGAAGUUCAUUAAAACUAGUAAGACACAUUUUGCUCUUAACAUGGAAAGUAUCAACGUUUCAGUACGUAAAACGGUUUUUAGUAGUUUUCGUUAUAUAUGUUUGAGUGUUACGCCAUUAAAAAAAAAAUUAGGACAACUUUGCUUUGCUGACAAGAAACUGCCGAGGAGAGAAGCUUUGAUUCCAAGCAAAACUGUGAUUACAGAUACAAGGAUACAAACAGGACCUGUGCUUUAUCAUUGAGAGGUCAAUUUACUGACAAGUCAAAAAAUGAGUUUUAUGCGGCAUGACUGAUUUUCUGAUCUAUGGAGUAGGCACUACCAGGAACUUCAACCAUUAGCUCAUCUUCCUCUUCAUCGGUAGCUGAAUCAGUCUCCUGGGAUUGGGAACAAAUGGAACAGAGUUUUAAUGCUACAUCGAGUCUCACAAUGUAUUGUAAAUAAAAGUGCUCCGUUUCAUUUAAAUAUGUCUCAUAAUCAUACCUUUGUGUUGCCUUCAGCCGGCAGUUCUUUUUGCUUUGGAUUGUUUCUGAGUUCGUUUAAAGUGUUUUUGAGUUGCUUCCUGGCUUUGGACCGUAUCAGUUUACGUUCUGCGCAUUGAGCUGCAGUGACAUUGGCAUGACAAGCCACACAGAGUGUCCUCAUGUUCUCUAGCCGGCAUUCACCUAUCAAUGAUCCAAGAAAACUUGUUCAGUCAGUUGAAUUCACAUAUUAAAACGUUUAUUGAGUGAUCUAGUGUUAGGCCUCUCUAGUGUAAGAGAUUGGGACUUACCUCCGCCUUGGUAGACUGGAAUGAUAUGGUCCGCAUGCCACGCAUUACCCUCCGUUGGUUCAUUAACCAGGGUUUCGAGCCUUGAACAUUAGAGGAGAAAAUUAAGAAAUUCAGUUUCAAAAAAAAAAGUGCACGUUCAAAUAGAAAUACAACCAAAAAGUUGGGCUUGAAUGGCUCACAAGUUCUUCCGCGCAAACAAUUCUGGAGCAACUUUGUUUAUGUAUGUACGGCGUUUUUCCAAUGGUAAAGGCCUUAACCGUCUGACAAGUUGGUGGCAGUCUAAUUCGCAGUUUGUGCAAAUUCCAUGUUCUAUCUGAAAAAGUUCCUGAGAUUUGAAACUUUACACCUCUUAGUGAUGCAUUAAAGGUGUUAAUCGAAACUCAUUUGCAUUAAACAAUGAAAGAAUAACCAAGAAAAACCUGGCGAAUGUAUCUGCUGCUUGUUCUCGUCCGGUAAUCUUCAUAGCAUGCAAGAUCACAGAAAAGAUCCUCAAAAUACUCAGGUUCUUUGGCGUUGUUUCCCCUAGAUCAAACCAAUCAUUUUAAGUUAAUUAAAAACAUUGACCAAAACUUAUGAGUCAGUAAAUACACAUGUUUUCACUCACUUGCAGGGCUUUUGACAGAGUUUACAGAGUGGUUCGUUGCUCAUACUCCAAGCUUGGGUGUAUUCUUUUUCCUUUUUUUGGUGGCCACUUCGAAGGUUGACCUUUUUCCACACUGCAUUUUCAGGUACAGGAAUACUGAUCUCAGAAAAGGGCGUGUUUCGUCUUUUGCUCCCUCCCCUAAGCAAUCCCUGAUGCAGAUAACUCUCAAUAAAGGUUUUGGAAUUAAAUAUUUGGAAAAAAAGUUUUCAGCUAAAGGAUAUACCUCGUUGUUGUGACUAGUACUUUCACUCAAGUAGCUCAACUCCAGUGAUAAAGGUAGUUGCAAAGGCUUUCCAAGUAGUUUCCGCUUUUCGAUUGGCCGUAGUGAUUUCCACUCUUUCAUAAAUUCUAAGAUAGCAAGUACAUGAACCGGAUCAUCCGUAAUGGAUUCAGGAUUUUUUUCUUUAUUGGGACCCUGACUUGGAUUGCUUGCUUCAAUCUCCUCUGGGCGGAAGUUCUGGAAAUGAGGCCUUGGUCGUGGAUCUUUCCCAAGAAUGCAAGAGUAUAAAUGAAUUCUUCCAGUGUUUUGGCUCACCUGAAAGAAUAUGAGAUCCGAUUCAUAUGUGUUUUCAGCUCCAAACAAGUAAUGAUAAUGACAUUUGUAAAAUUUCACAAUAGAAGUAAGAAUCAGAUUGCAGCUUAGAUCAAAUAAACUUAGAAAUAGAUACGAGAUUGAGUGGAUUCACCAAAUUUGGCCUCCUUGACAUGAUUAUACUUUUCAUGACCACAAAGGCAACAAGAAUAACAAGAUAAAAUAUAAAGAGCCAAUGCAGACUUUACACUUUACCUCAAAUCUGAGAGAAUCUAUGAGUGGAAAAAUGGAACUGGAAUCAAAUUCUUUCACAAGCCCGUCAUCAGCAAUAAGCUGCAUCACAAGAAAAUGUAUUUACAUUUUAGGACAUGUCAGAGAAGAAAAAUAGACCUUUCAUAAGAUUUAAGUUCAUACAUUUUUAGGCUGAUGAUUUUCUUGGUUUUCCUGGUCUAACAUAGUUAAACAAAUGGUGCCAGAAGAUCUCAUCUCAGAGCCGGAACCAUUCUCAACAAAUUUACAGACUUCUAAUAUUUCCAGAUGAGAAGUCAUGUCGUCCUGCUCAGCCAAAAAACCAAAACGAGUGAAUAUCUGAGUUUUAUAAUCAAGGAGACAUUUGGCUUGUAUACUUCAUGGUAUACGAAAGAUAAAUUCCGAGGUCAUGAAGGUCCCAACUAUUUGAUCAGUGACAAGUCAAGAGAUAAACCUUGAGAUCAAUAGUAUUUGAUACAUCUGUCUCAGAUCCCAGAUCGUCACAGCUUUCAACAAUCUUAUCAGCUACUACAGUAUUAGCUUUUGAUGGUUGUGCUUCAAGAACUUCUCUUUCACUGCUUUCUUCAUCAGGCUUGAAAAUAUAUGCUCUUUCAAUCUGCCCAGACAUAAAUUUUUAUGAUACAAAAUUACAAACUAAUGGCCGUCAUGUGAAUAAACCCCUGUGGUGUGAACAUCUAAGGCCAAGGACAGUAAUCUACUGAGAAUUGAGAAAAAGAGCAGAGAUUUGGGAGGUACUUCGAUUUCGGUCUUCCCAUCAUAUUUUCCAUCAGUGGUAGAUGAAAUACGGUGCAACUUCUUGUUCAGAUUUUGCCAAUUUGACUCAUCCAUAGUAUCCUAUAAAAUAAGAGUCGCUAUUCAAGUAGUGGAUAAGACAAACUUCAAGUAACUAGUAUAGCAGCAGCAAACGAGUUUACCUUUGCGCAGAAGAUGUAUACAUUGACUGCACUUGUUUGGCCUCGCCUAUGUGCUCUAUCCUCGGCCUUCAAAAUGUAAUCAAUUGAUUAUGCAUUUAGCAGCCUUACUGCAUUUUGCUCUAUAGGUUGAGGAACGAGAACAAGAAGUUAAGAGUAUAAAAAACAGUAGUACAAGAAAAAUACCUGAAGCAACAGUGACGGUGUUUUAGGCAAUUCAAGGAACACAACAUUUUGUGCUGCUGAAAAAUCAAGUCCAACUCCUCCAGCUUCUACGCCAAUUAUUGCAACUUUUACCUAGAGGGGAAAGCCAUAGCAUAAGUCAAAUACCACACAUCCUAACAAGCACAAUCAAUUCAAGAGUUAUAAACGUAUAGGAGAUGUGCAUACCUCACUAGAAAACUGAAAUGACUGUACAGCCAAUUGUCUAUCUCUUGGCAACGUCAUCCCAUCAAUGCGGACAAAACCAAUCCCUUUAUCACACAUAAAUUCCUGAAAAGCAAUAAUCAAUAAUGAAAACGAAAUAAGCAAAAUACUUGUUCAAAACAUGUUAAGCUAGCAGACAGAUAUAAAUUUUUGAACUUUCAAGGAGUUAAUGAUAAGAAUGAAGCAUACUAACCUGAAUUCCAUCCAGAACCUUAUGGUGAUGAGCAAAAACGACCAUUUUAGUUGAGCUCGUGUCUCCAUCAAUAUCUUCUGGGGUAUAAUCCAAUCCUGAUAGAAGUGGAUGUAGAGAUAACCAUUCACGAAAGGCAGAAAGCUUUGCAAUGCCAAGUUGUUGAUAGGAAAGUUUCCCACAUAGUUGAUUCUCUCUGUCAGCUAAAGAACAAAAAAAGUAAAAAAAUGAAAAAAGAGUACAAAUAUUUGCAAAAAGAAUUAUCUCCUUGACAUCUAUGAAAACGAAAUAAUCAAAACAUACAGUUCGGACCAUCAGAAUUCUCUGCAUUUACAUGUCCAGCUUCAUUUGAUCCUUGAGCAUUUUGAUCUAUACGAGGCAGCAUGUGUUAAAACAUUGUAUUGACCACAGUAGUUAACUAGAUCUAAACUCCAAGAAACUUGAGGUUUGUGUUACUGGUAAAAAUAAAAUGCCUUGAAUACUGAUGAUAAAAACAAUUCAACAUCAUUACUAGAUUGGUAUAAAACAUGCCACAUACCUUUAGGUUCAUGUGAGUUCUCUGUGACUUCUGCUAUAGUACCAUCAUUCUGUUUAUUAGCCUUCUGAUUAGCCUCACUGACAAUAGCCGUUGCUAAAGCUAUAUCAGACUUCUUUAGCAAGAUGGUUACGAUUUGCCUACGUUUUGGGGGUAGCUGUGUUAACACAUGCUGUUUCAGUCUUCUUAUCUAUAACAAACAAAAAGGAAUUUCACAUCACAUAGUUAGUUCUCCACAAACUCACAACACAUUACAAGAAACUUUGGCAUAAUAUAUCAGUGAUAUCAUUUCAUUUCUUUAUUUCUUCACAAAAUUUCACGAACAGCACGAGGCAAUAAACAGAUAGUUAACUGAACUGUGAAUGUUGGAACAUGGGAAUGCUUUCACCCAAACAUCUAAAUUAAAUUGUCUUCAUAUUUAUCUAGAAAUACUUAUAAGUUGUAAAACAUUCAAAUUAUGGUUUGAGGGACUUGGUCGGUCCUAUUUGAAUUCUGGGGAAAAUUCAAUUAGAAAAAAACAAGUUUCCCAGUAUCGACCAUUGUUACGGAACCAUUAAUGCCAAACUGAAAUAGAAGAACAAGGAUUUACCAUCACUGUUUGGUUUAGCAGUAUGUUUAACUCCAGUAAGCGAGUACCCUUUGAAAAAUCCUGCAUCGUCGAACAAAAGAUUUGUUACCAUCUCGCAACAUUAACAAAAAAAAAACUAAGAGAGGGGAACCAAUGUUCAUAUCAGAAAGGAAGCGACUGAAAAGAAAUAAAACGAAGUAUGAUAGCAACAUCCUCUAUGGGUGACGAUUUACCAUGCAAUGGGAGUAUUAUGCACUUAAAGUAUGGGCUACCACAUAAAGUCCAUAUUUACCUGGAAAAUCUUCCCUUGCAUACCUCUGACAAGCCCAACUUCACAAUAGGUUUUCGCAAACUCAUACUUUUCUUUUCCCAGCAAACCAGGCCUGGUGACAGAAUCAGUGUUAGAAAAGGGAAGUAGUGCAAAUACAAAAUUUUUAUAUCAAAGUUUGCAGAUGACUUGCCAUAGGAUGUUUAUCUGAUGGAAAAUGUCGAAGGGCCUGUGGUCACCUAGGAAACAAAUUUAAGGAUAAAUUACAAAUUCGAAGUAAACAGAAGAUACUGAUUUUACACAGAGUUAAAUUUCCACAACCUCGAUAUAGAAGGAGUUCCUGACAACAGAACUAUGUGCUUAACCUUUUCAGCAACAUUAAGGACUGUCUUUAUCUGCAAAACAUACCGAAAGUAUUUUGACUACCAACCUUUUUUUUAAAAAGCACAAAAUCUCCACUCAGAGUUAAGGAUGUCCCAUGGAGUGUUAGAGAAAGUGUCACUGAAUCAUCUCUGUGUUUAUCAAACGUUACUAAAGUCAACUAGGAAAUCAUAGAAAAAGGGACACAGGACGGCAUGCUAGAAAAUCUCACUAGUGAGGAAAACGAUUGCAUACCUCAGGUGGAUCUGACUUUUUUUUCGAACACCGUAGAUGAUGAGAUUCAUCUACUAUCAAGAGGGCCCAUUCUCGCUCAAGCAUGGUGGUCCGGAGAUGCUGAAGCAUCUUGUAUGAGAUAACCACAACUUUUGGCCAUCUUGGUAAAUAGGCAGGAUUAUCUUGAUGACCGAAUACUGAACCAAAAAGUUUCAUCAAACACAACUCGAAUUGACAAGAUAGCCAAUUAACAGCUCUAAAACUAAAUUAAAGCUUUAGCUUUAGAGCUCCAGUGGAGAAAAAAAGUAUUUGAGACAUAUAUUGCUAAAUUGCAAUUCUGUAUCCCACCAGUUAAUAUGUGUAGGACUUGGCAGUGAAAGAUAAAACCAGAAAGGAAAAGCAAAAAUAUUAAUUCUGUAUUCAACUAAUGUAGCUAACAAGAUCAAGACACAGAAGUUUAAAAGAGAAAAGGUAAGCAAUUCAGUAGAGACUUUUACCGAGAUGUAUGUCAGAAGGCAAACAAAAUGGCAACCAGCGUUCCAAUUCUUCUGCCCAUGAGAAACGCAGAACAGCUGGACAGACAACAAGUAUGGAACCCUCACUUAUGAAGCAACCAGCAAUGGCAAUGGCCUAACACAAGAUUGAACACUCAGAUUAACUGCUUUACCAAACUACUAAGAACUUCAAAAUUUCUUCACAAUACCAAAUAUAUCACCUGAAGCGUCUUUCCAAGCCCCAUUUCAUCAGCAAUGAAGCACCUGCCACCUCUCCGUAAACCAAAUCUUAGACCAUCAAGUUGGAAAGGCAAAAGGGCACUCACCAAUUUUCUUGGCAGGGUUUCAAUCAGUUUUUCAACCUUCUCCUCCGUAUAAUGUUCAGGUAUACAAGGUUGCCAUUUCCCAGAAAUGAAUGACUGGGAAAGUUUCUCAACAACAGCCAACGUUUUCCAAGGUAUCUCUUCAACUUCAACGCUCUUGGACCUUUUUAGACAUCCAGAGACCAUAUUGUAGUCCCUAAUCUUAUAAACCCCAGCUUUUCCUCCGUCAUCAUUUUGAGUGUAGUGUAAAGGAAUCGCCUGAAAGUAAAAUCAAUUACAAUAUCAACAAGAAGAAUCCAACUUCGUUCUUCGCAUUAUACCAAUAACCCUAAAAAUUCAGAGACUCAAAAUUUCCCCUUUUCGUAAAUUUCUCUUCUACAUUUUGUCACCCCUUAACAAAAAACAAAACUUUACGCGAGAAAAUACAAAGAAGAACUUACCUCAGAUAGAAUCUCUCUCAAUUGACGAAGACACUCUUGCUCUUCUGGGCAUCGAAACCCUUGCAAUUGAACCGGCGUAACCGAAAACGAAUCAGGAGAACAGAUCUCGAGCCUGACGCGGAACUUUUCCGGUACACUAGUACUCAAUCCUCGUUCCGGUUCGUAGUUCCGAUACCCUUCUUGAAAACAGACAUCGUUACCACCGUCGAGCUUUCGACAUUUAGCUAACCUGAAAUCUUGUUGUCGCUGUGGGUUUUCCGAAGAAUCAAACGACGUCUUUCGUUUCUCAGAAAAAGCUAACCGAUUCGCUUCGUCUCUCCGCCGUUGCUCUUCGGAAACCUCCAUUGAUUGAAUCUGAGAGCUGAGUUGUGUGAAGUGAAGAGAAGACGUUUUGAAUUUUGAAAAUUGAAACGAACGAGCAUGAACAAGAGAAGAGUGCGGGUGCGAAGAAACCACACGUGUUAACUACGCACGUGUGAAUUAAAAUUAAAUCCGGUUCGGUACGAAGAAAAUCCAAUCAAACCGGAUUCCUAAUUUUACGACAUAUUGGAUUUGAUUGGAUUUACAAUACAAGAUUCUUCAUGAACAAGAUUCUUUGAAAAGUUUACAUUACAAGAUUCUUCAUGAACAAAAAAAAAAACAUUUUUUUCUCAUUUCAACGACUUUAAAUUCACAACUUUGAUCUCUUUCUUGGAUUUUAAGCUCAAGGACUAGCCGCCUUCAAUGACUUGUGAAGAUGUGGAUUUGCUCUUAAUCUUCUUCUUCUGAGAUGUUCUAUUGUUAUCUUGAAGAGAUAUUACAGUUUCAAAAGCACCAACCAAUGCUUUAACUUUACUCUUCCUCACUUCUUCAAGCUUAUUCACUGUCUCUUCAAUCACAUUAUUGAAAAGUGUCUGCAAUUUCUUCUUCACUUCCACUUUUCUAUGCCUCAAAACAACUUUCUCUCGUUUACCUUCACCGUUAAUCUUCCCAACACCUUCUCUUUUAUCUUUCAGGUUCUUCUUCUUUUUGUUCACAUCACUUCUGAGUUUUGGUUCUUGAACAACUCUCUUCUUGAAUUUGAUCGAUGUUGUAGUGGAAUCUUCUGGUUUUGGUUCAAGAACUUUCCCUUUCUUGAAAUUCAUUUGCUGUUUCGUUGGAGGAGGAGGUGGAG